UUUGGGGGGUUGUACCUGACCUGCGGAGGGACAUUACACAAAUAUGAAGGCGGGCUGGAACCUCUCGGGGUUACAGCCUUGCUGAAUUAUUCACCCUUGUCUUUUGCGUACUUCUUGUUUCCUUGGUGGGUUCGCCCACCACUAGGACAAACAUAAACCUUUUGUAAUUGCAAUCAGCGUCAGUAACAAAUUAAUAAUUACAACUUUCAACAACGGAUCUCUUGGUUCUGGCAUCGAUGAAGAACGCAGCGAAAUGCGAUAAGUAGUGUGAAUUGCAGAAUUCAGUGAAUCAUCGAAUCUUUGAACGCACAUUGCGCCCUUUGGUAUUCCAAAGGGCAUGCCUGUUCGAGCGUCAUUUGUACCCUCAAGCUUUGCUUGGUGUUGGGCGUCUUGUCUCUAGCUUUGCUGGAGACUCGCCUUAAAGUAAUUGGCAGCCGGCCUACUGGUUUCGGAGCGCAGCACAAGUCGCACUCUCUAUCAGCAAAGGUCUAGCAUCCAUUAAGCCUUUUUUUCAACUUUUGACCUCGGAUCAGGUAGGGAUACCCGCUGAACUUAA
Molecule: ribosomal RNA, 556 nt
Filed under: Alternaria alternata
Lineage: Eukaryota; Fungi; Ascomycota; Dothideomycetes; Pleosporales; Pleosporaceae
Description: eukaryotic LSU rRNA
Rfam family: 5.8S ribosomal RNA (bases 202-355)
Source: RNAcentral